RNAcentral lists this ribosomal RNA (301 nucleotides) under uncultured bacterium. Its description in RNAcentral is "partial 16S ribosomal RNA". It matches the Rfam family "Bacterial small subunit ribosomal RNA", at positions 509 to 807 of the family's 1533-position model. The record is from RNAcentral.
CAGCCGCCGCGGGAAUACGGAGGGGGCUAGCGUUGUUCGGAAUUACUGGGCGUAAAGCGCACGUAGGCGGCUUUGUAAGUUAGAGGUGAAAGUCUGGGGCUCAACUCCAGAAUUGCCUUCAAGACUGCAUCGCUUGAACGUCGGAGAGGUGAGUGGAAUUCCGAGUGUAGAGGUGAAAUUCGUAGAUAUUCGGAAGAACACCAGUGGCGAAGGCGGCUCACUGGACGACUGUUGACGCUGAGGUGCGAAAGCGUGGGGAGCAAACAGGAUUAGAUACCCCAGUAGUCCCUGUCUCUUAUAC